This 305-nucleotide ribosomal RNA is filed under the name uncultured bacterium. Its description in RNAcentral is "bacterial SSU rRNA". It matches the Rfam family "Bacterial small subunit ribosomal RNA", at positions 334 to 653 of the family's 1533-position model. The record is from RNAcentral.
UGUUCCUACGGGACGCAGCAGUGGGGAAUAUUGCACAAUGGGCGAAAGCCUGAUGCAGCAACGCCGCGUGAAGGAAGAAGGCUUUCGGGUUGUAAACUUCUUUUCUCAGGGACGAAGCAAGUGACGGUACCUGAGGAAUAAGCCACGGCUAACUACGUGCCAGCAGCCGCGGUAAUACGUAGGUGGCAAGCGUUAUCCGGAUUUACUGGGUGUAAAGGGCGUGUAGGCGGGGACGCAAGUCAGAUGUGAAAACCACGGGCUCAACCUGUGGCCUGCAUUUGAAACUGUGUUUCUUGAGUACUGGG